GGGUUUUGUUAGAAAAAUAGUUGGAAACCGGUCCUGAUCGAUUUCGGUGUGCUGCCUUUGAGGGACUGCAAAGAACGAAAGACGGAAAAGGCAAAUGCAACAGCUUUUGUAGACAUUAUAUUGUUAGGGACCUAACUGAUUAAUUGAGAACAUAGUAAUAGUACAAUGCCAUGAAUAGAUCACAUUGUGUAAACAACAAAACAAUUUGAAACAGGAGAAUAUAAAACUUAUUCAGAAAACAUCGACCACUAACGAUCGAGAAAAUCCCAAUGUAUCAUUGGUGAUGUUAGUUUCUAAGUGCCUUGGCGUAAUUCAGGACAGAUAAUUCCUGCUCCCAAAAGAUUUCUCCAAAGAAAAUGAAAACAAAGGAAACCCAACUGUUCCAGCUGGAUUCCAGUCUGAGGAAGGUGCAGAGAAACAAAAUUCAUAAGACCGGUAGCCGUGGGGUUUGGUUGCAUGACCCACCGAACGAACGCCUGACGAUUGAUGGGACGAUACAGAUCCGAAGGUUUCUUUAUGGAUGCAGUUUUUCGUACAGUAGAAGACUUUUUUUUACUCUUUUGUUCCUGUCUCAACUGACGAACGGAUAAAAUGAUCGAUUCCCUUUUUCAGAGAUUUGCAAUGUAAUUUAAGAUGGAAUAGUAAUUUGGGUGUGACGAGAUUCGUUUUUGCCAGAAGUAGUAAUUUAGAUAAGAUAA
Molecule: long non-coding RNA, 698 nt
Organism: Malaya genurostris
Lineage: Eukaryota; Metazoa; Arthropoda; Insecta; Diptera; Culicidae
Exons: 3
Source: RefSeq, a predicted model, not a curated record